AUGAGAGUUGGCAACACCCGAAGUCGGUAGUCUAACCGCAAGGAGGACGCCGCCGAAGGUGGGGUUGAUGAUUAGGGUUAAGUCGUAACAAGGUAAC
Molecule: ribosomal RNA, 97 nt
Filed under: uncultured bacterium
Lineage: Bacteria
Description: partial 16S ribosomal RNA
Rfam family: Bacterial small subunit ribosomal RNA
Source: RNAcentral